GAGUUUGAUCAUGGCUCAGGAUGAACGCUGGCGGCGUGCCUAAUACAUGCAAGUCGAGCGAACGGACGAGAAGCUUGCUUCUCUGAUGUUAGCGGCGGACGGGUGAGUAACACGUGGAUAACCUACCUAUAAGGACUGGGAUAACUUCGGGAAACCGGAGCUAAUACCGGAUAAUAUUUUGAACCGCAUGAUUCAAAAGUGAAAGACGGUCUUGCUGUCACUUAUAGAUGGAUCCGCGCUGCAUUAGCUAGUUGGUAAGGUAACGGCUUACCAAGGCAACGAUGCAUAGCCGACCUGAGAGGGUGAUCGGCCACACUGGAACUGAGACACGGUCCAGACUCCUACGGGAGGCAGCAGUAGGGAAUCUUCCGCAAAUGGGCGAAAGCCUGACGGAGCAACGCCGCGUGAGUGAUGAAGGUCUUCGGAUCGUAAAACUCUGUUAUUAGGGAAGAACAUAUGUGUAAGUAGCUGUGCACAUCUUGACGGUACCUAAUCAGAAAGCCACGG
Molecule: ribosomal RNA, 507 nt
Filed under: uncultured microorganism
Description: bacterial SSU rRNA
Rfam family: Bacterial small subunit ribosomal RNA
Source: RNAcentral